GGGUGCGAUCAUACUAGCGUUAGUGCACCUGAUCCCAUCAGAAGUCCGCAAUUAAGCGUGCUUGGGCUGGAGUAGUACUAGGAUGGGUGACCUCCCAGGAAGUCCUAGUGUUGCACCCUC
This 120-nucleotide ribosomal RNA is filed under the name Juniperus chinensis. The record is from RNAcentral. Lineage: Eukaryota; Viridiplantae; Streptophyta; Pinopsida; Cupressales; Cupressaceae.